Molecule: ribosomal RNA, 467 nt
Filed under: uncultured Latescibacterota bacterium
Lineage: Bacteria; Pseudomonadati; Candidatus Latescibacterota
Description: bacterial SSU rRNA
Rfam family: Bacterial small subunit ribosomal RNA
Source: RNAcentral
ACGGGACCGCACAAGCGGUGGAUGAUGUGGAUUAAUUCGAUGCAACGCGAAAACCUUACCUACCCUUGACAUGCCAGGAAUCUUGGUGAGAGCCGAGAGUGCCUUCGGGAGCCUGGACACAGGUGCUGCAUGGCUGUCGUCAGCUCGUGUCGUGAGAUGUUGGGUUAAGUCCCGCAACGAGCGCAACCCUUAUCCCUAGUUGCCAUCAGGUAAAGCUGGGAACUCUGGGGAGACUGCCGGUGAUAAACCGGAGGAAGGCGGGGAUGACGUCAAGUCCUCAUGGCCCUUACAUCCCGGGCUACACACGUGCUACAAUGGCAGGUACAGAGGGCUGCGAAGCCGCGAGGUGGAGCGAAUCCCAGAAAACCUGUCUCAGUCCGGAUUGAAGUCUGCAACUCGACUUCAUGAAGGCGGAAUCGCUAGUAAUCGUGGAUCAGAAUGUCACGGUGAAUACGUUCCCGGGUCUU